This 209-nucleotide long non-coding RNA is filed under the name Capsicum annuum. Its description in RNAcentral is "long non-coding RNA (CANN_LNC011967)". Lineage: Eukaryota; Viridiplantae; Streptophyta; Magnoliopsida; Solanales; Solanaceae. The record is from RNAcentral.
UUUAUUCAUUUAUUUGGGUCUCGAAGUCAAAGUUGUAUUUUAAUACAGGUGAGGCGGAUUUUGACCUCAAUGGUUCGAAAACUAUCUUAGAACAGGUUGUGGACCGAAAGCCCAAUAUUUAGAUUAAGACAGGUGAAAGUGGGCCAAAAGCCCAAUUAGAAUAGGACAAGGUCUAUUUAUUUGGGCCCAAUGGCCUAAGUCUUUUAUUU